GUAGGUGGCAAGCGUUGUCCGGAAUUAUUGGGCGUAAAGCGCGCGCAGGCGGUUCUUUAAGUCUGAUGUGAAAGCCCACGGCUCAACCGUGGAGGGUCAUGGGAAACUGGAGAACUUGAGUACAGAAGAGGAAAGCGGAAUUCCACGUGUAGCGGUGAAAUGCGUAGAGAUGUGGAGGAACACCAGUGGCGAAGGCGGCUUUCUGGUCUGUAACUGACGCUGAGGCGCGAAAGCGUGGGGAGCAAACAGGGAUUAGAUACCCUGGUAGUCCACGCCGUAAACGAUGAGUGCUAAGUGUUAGGGGGUUUCCGCCCCCUUAGUGCUGCAGCUAACGCAUUAAGCACUCCGCCUGGGGAGUACGGCCGCAAGGCUG
RNAcentral lists this ribosomal RNA (373 nucleotides) under uncultured organism. Its description in RNAcentral is "partial 16S ribosomal RNA". It matches the Rfam family "Bacterial small subunit ribosomal RNA", at positions 527 to 896 of the family's 1533-position model. The record is from RNAcentral.